CUCUUGUUUGUUGCAGAUUUUCAAUUUUAUGAUGCUUGAUUUGUAGCUUUACUGCUAACUCUAGACUUUAAUCCAACUAAAUUUCAGUUCCUUAAAACCUCCAACUUCUUUUUAGCCGAAUCACUGAGCUUUAAAGAAUUAUGGAAUUGAUUUGGGCCAGGUAGACUAAAACAGAACUUAGAAUGGAACGGAUGAGCUUAAGGUUUGAGAAUGAAAAAAAAAUGCUCAUCUCUUAUUUACCUCCUUACGAAACACUUCACCCACUUUACACUAAUUCAUUAACAGCUCAUGCUUGUUAUGAAUUAGUCACUUUUCAUUAUUCCAAUUGAUACCACCUCAUGCUUGAAAACAUAUGACUCAGCCACAUAAUCUUUGCAGCUCAUGCUUAUUAGUAAUUGACUCAGCUUAAAAUUUAUCGGUUAGCACUCAU
Molecule: long non-coding RNA, 430 nt
Filed under: Panax ginseng (ginseng)
Lineage: Eukaryota; Viridiplantae; Streptophyta; Magnoliopsida; Apiales; Araliaceae
Description: long non-coding RNA (PGIN_LNC010961)
Source: RNAcentral